CAUGUGAAGAAGGAUGUGUUUGCUUCUCCUUCCGCCAUGAUUGUAAGUUUCCUGAGGCCUCCCCAGCCAUGCUCAACUGCUGUUCUGAUCAUGAUCAAGCCCGAGACAGAGCGAUGGGUGUGGCUUCCCAAAAGGUGUUUAUGAAUCCAAAAUAUGAGAGAGAAGAUAAGAUGAAGUCACAGUCUAGUCAUUGCCUCAACACCAGUCAUGCCUACUCCCACCCAGACAACAUCAUCUCCGCUCCCAAGCCCGAAAUGCUCCCUCCCAUGCCUUCGAGGCUGAGGUCUGGGACGAAGACUCUAAGAAGAGAGAAAAGGGCACCAGUAUGGAGACCCUAGAAUAUAAAAAGCAGACUUAGCCUGCCUAACCUGUUCCUUGACUUGGCCAUGAUCCCAGGAAUAGAGGAAGGAUCUUCCUUUUCCUCCUCCUCCUGGAGAGGCAUCAGAGCAUGGGCCCUGGCUCUGUUACUCCCUGGCUGGGGAAGUUACUUACCUACUCCGUGUCUCAGUUUUACUUAUCUCUAAAAGGGGUACAGUAACAGCACUCACUGGAGUGGAGUGUGGUUAUGCCUCCCAGUCACUCCUUCAGAACCAGGUUACUUAUUCCCUCAGCUGCAAGGAGUGUUAGCUGCGGACUGCUCACAAUGGAGUCUCUUCUAGGAAUUGCCCUCAACCAAAGGAAGCUGCAUUGCCCAAGAUGAGAUCCCCCCGCUGGGGCAUCCUGCAUCCAAUGACAAGUCAGUGGUGCGUACGAAGGCCUGGCUUCCUCAUCUUGAUUGAACACCUCCAAAGGGCCAUCCCAGUUUCUGAUCUCCCCGUAGAAUCUCCUGAAGCAUCUGUUGUGACUGCAUCAGAGCCCAACUUCUCUCUCUACCCAAUCCAGUCUCCUUUCCUUCUCACAGGUGUUGUUCCCAAAACUCAAUAAACUGCUUACAUGCAA
Molecule: long non-coding RNA, 939 nt
Filed under: Pongo abelii (Sumatran orangutan)
Lineage: Eukaryota; Metazoa; Chordata; Mammalia; Primates; Hominidae
Description: lincRNA
Source: RNAcentral